This 519-nucleotide ribosomal RNA is filed under the name uncultured bacterium. RNAcentral describes it as "bacterial SSU rRNA". It matches the Rfam family "Bacterial small subunit ribosomal RNA", at positions 28 to 526 of the family's 1533-position model. The record is from RNAcentral.
GACGAACGCUGGCGGCGUGCCUAAUACAUGCAAGUCGAGCGGAGUUAUGAGGGAGCUUGCUCCCGAUUAGCUUAGCGGCGGACGGGUGAGUAACACGUAGGUAACCUGCCCGUAAGACUGGGAUAACUACCGGAAACGGUAGCUAAUACCGGAUAAUUUAUUUUCUCGCAUGAGAGAGUAAUGAAAGGCGGAGCAAUCUGCCACUUACGGAUGGGCCUGCGGCGCAUUAGCUAGUUGGUGAGGUAACGGCUCACCAAGGCGACGAUGCGUAGCCGACCUGAGAGGGUGAACGGCCACACUGGGACUGAGACACGGCCCAGACUCCUACGGGAGGCAGCAGUAGGGAAUCUUCCGCAAUGGACGAAAGUCUGACGGAGCAACGCCGCGUGAGUGAUGAAGGUUUUCGGAUCGUAAAGCUCUGUUGCCAGGGAAGAACGCUUGGGAGAGUAACUGCUCUCAAGGUGACGGUACCUGAGAAGAAAGCCCCGGCUAACUACGUGCCAGCAGCCGCAGUAACAC